This 885-nucleotide ribosomal RNA is filed under the name Triticum aestivum (bread wheat). RNAcentral describes it as "partial small subunit ribosomal RNA". The record is from RNAcentral. Lineage: Eukaryota; Viridiplantae; Streptophyta; Magnoliopsida; Poales; Poaceae.
AUGGAGCGGGAGACGCCGGAAGCCGCGCCACCGCUGACAUUUCUCCGCGGGGAGGAGGCGUCGUCGGGGUCUUCGUCGGCGCGCGCGCGGUUCGAGCGCCUGAUCCGGCGGGUGCAGGCGGAGGUGUGCGCGGCGCUCGAGGCAGUCGAGGAGGGCAGCGGCGGCGGUGGCGUGGUCCGCGUGCUGCAGGGCGGCCGCGUGUUCAAGAAGGCCGCCGUAAACGUGUCCGUCGUCUACGGAGUCAUGCCCCCAGACGCGUACCGCGCGGCGAGGCCCGACGCGGCGGCGGGCGCGGAGAAGGCCGGGCCCGUGCCCUUCUUCGCUGCCGGCGUUAGCUCGUGGUGGUUUGGAGGUGGUACUGACUUGACACCGUCGUACAUCAUCGAAGAGGAUAUCAAACAUUUUCAUUCUGUUCAAAAACAAGCAUGCGAUAAGUUUGAUCCAACUUUCUACCCAAGAUUCAAAAAAUGGUGCGAUGAUUAUUUCCAUGUCAAGCAUCGUGGUGAACGCCGUGGGGUGGGUGGAAUAUUCUUUGAUGAUCUCAGUGACCAUGAUCAAGAAACUCUUCUUGACUUCGUGACAGACUGUGCGGCCUCUGUAAUUCCUGCAUACAUCCCCAUGGACCCCAUCAUAGAAUGUCGGAAAGAUACCCCAUUUACAGAAGACCACAGGGCAUGGCAGCAGCUACGGAGAGGUCGCUAUGUGGAAUUCAACCUCGUCUACGAUCGUGGCACCACAUUUGGCCUCAAAACUGGAGGAAGGAUUGAGAGUAUCCUUGUUUCCCUCCCUCUGACCGCACGGUGGGAGUAUGAUCAUAAACCGCAAGAAGGGACUGAAGAAUGGAAACUUCUCGACGUGUGCAUCAAUCCAAAGGAAUGGAUCUGA